UGUUUGUAUACCUUGCAGAUGCGGCUGUAAUGAGUAUGUAGGCAGAUGAUCAACAAAUUGGUUAUAGUACAUGGAUGUUCGAUUUGGACUAAUAUGAUAGCAACUGCUUGCAGCUAAACAAUGGAAAGACAUGCAUCGCGAAAAGAGCAAGCUACGAAUAUAUAGGAUAUAUAUGCAUCUUACAGCUAUAGCUUCUGGAGGCAGCAAAUCUUACUUGCUGUACGGUGUAUGUAUAUUAAGAGACGGAGCCAAGUUGAAAAUGGUGGUAGUGGAUUCCAAGGGUAACACAACAUUUAGUGCGGGGUACGAGGGAGUGCAAUAUUCACCCUAUUGUACUACAGCUUAAUUAUAUCCGCUGAAACAUGCUACUAUAGUUGUCGCUACUAAAAUAGUGGUCACAGAUUUCAGGGGAAUCAGCACCAAGGAGCGUUCUAUUGCAGGUUCUCUGUAUCA
Molecule: long non-coding RNA, 453 nt
Organism: Papaver somniferum (opium poppy)
Lineage: Eukaryota; Viridiplantae; Streptophyta; Magnoliopsida; Ranunculales; Papaveraceae
Exons: 3
Source: RefSeq, a predicted model, not a curated record